UUGAGAUUUUUGAAUAAAUGGCAGGUUAGAAAAAAUGGGCGAAGAAAAAAAGGGCGAGAAAAACGGGCGAAGAAUAAAGGGUUUUUCUCGCCCUUUUUUUCUUCGCCCAUUUUUUCUAACCUGCCAUUUAUUCAAAAAUCCUCAAAACCUACAAU
Paramuricea clavata is the source of this 155-nucleotide non-coding RNA. NCBI's taxonomy places the organism in Eukaryota, Metazoa, Cnidaria, Anthozoa, Malacalcyonacea, Plexauridae. The record is from the annotation of a GenBank genome assembly.